This 484-nucleotide ribosomal RNA is filed under the name uncultured bacterium. RNAcentral describes it as "partial 16S ribosomal RNA". It matches the Rfam family "Bacterial small subunit ribosomal RNA", at positions 29 to 507 of the family's 1533-position model. The record is from RNAcentral.
AUUGAACGCUGGCGGCAUGCUUUACACAUGCAAGUCGAACGGCAGCGCGGGAGUUGGCCUGGCGGCGAGUGGCGCACGGGUGAGUAAUACAUCGGAACGUGCCCAGUAGCGGGGGAUAGCACGGCGAAAGCCGGAUUAAUACCGCAUACGACGUGAGGGUGAAAGCGGGGGAUCUUCGGACCUCGCGCUAUUGGAGCGGCGGAUGGCAGAUUAGCUAGUUGGUGGGGUAAAGGCCUACCAAGGCGACGAUCUGUAGCUGGUCUGAGAGGACGACCAGCCACACUGGGACUGAGACACGGCCCAGACUCCUACGGGAGGCAGCAGUGGGGAAUGUUGGACAAUGGGCGAAAGCCUGAUCCAGCAAUGCCGCGUGUGUGAUGAAGGCCUUCGGGUUGUAAAGCACUUUUGGCGGGAACGAAAAGGACUGUGCCAAUACCACGGUUCGAUGACGGUACCCGCAGAAUAAGCACCGGCUAACUACGUG